GAAAGAUUAGUUAAUUUAUAACCUAGGCUUGUCAUGCCUAAAUUGCUGUAAAGCAUCUUUCU
RNAcentral lists this transfer RNA (62 nucleotides) under Daphnia galeata. RNAcentral describes it as "tRNA-Asp". Lineage: Eukaryota; Metazoa; Arthropoda; Branchiopoda; Diplostraca; Daphniidae. The record is from RNAcentral.